RNAcentral lists this ribosomal RNA (2526 nucleotides) under Triticum aestivum (bread wheat). RNAcentral describes it as "partial small subunit ribosomal RNA". Lineage: Eukaryota; Viridiplantae; Streptophyta; Magnoliopsida; Poales; Poaceae. The record is from RNAcentral.
GAACGAUAAACACAUAUUACGUAGAAGUAUACCGUAACUACAAGAAGGCUAAACGUCCGUAUAGUUCUAGUUCCUAUAAAUUUGAACAAAGAAAAUAACUACUUUCUAAAGUCUACGAAGACAUCUACUUAAAGACCACAAUUAACAGGGUUUCUACCUUGCUAAACAAGGUGCCUUAAAUAGAGGAAUCAACGUAAGGUAAAUGUCAAGUACAAGUACCGGAACGACACCAACGUGCCACCAAGCACCCCUUGUCCUCGUUUAUGGAAACGAUGUUGGUUCCAGAACUGUUUGGUCAGUCCCUCUCUAUCCUAGCAAAACGUCCCCAACAAUACAAGACAGGGGGCACGGCGACCUGCUCUUUCUCAUCUCCUAGGUCCUUUCGUUGGCGUCCUCGGCCUCUUCUGCAGGGGUCCCGAAGAUGCUCCUGGUUUUCGUAAGGAAAGUCGUUAGACCCCAACAAUUCAUCUCCCAGCCCUAACGGGACCCGUCUACGAAUUCAAGGACCUACAUUUGCGUGUGAACGGAUGUACCCGGUUUUAUAAUAAACUCUAUUACUAUGAACAAAACGUAUAAACGUAGAGCUUCUUCGAACGGGUGAUAACAUCCAGUUGUAAAAGAACGAACGAACACCUUUUUGACCAAGAGCAAGUCAAUACACACAGUCAGACUAUCUUCUACCUGUGGGGAGAAGUUCAACCAAAUACCCGAACGCCUCACACUCUUCAUUCAAUGAUGACCUAGGUGAAAGAACAGUGAUCGGAACGAACUGUACAAGUAAAGAGUGCGAUGUGAAUGGUAGUCUUAAUACACUAAUGUACCUCUAUAUGUAGUCACGAACCGUCAAUAAUUGUAAUACCUUCUUUGAAGAUUAAUAGAACUAAUAGAACGACGGUGAUUGACACAACAUGACUAUUGUGACUAUCCGAAUUGACUACAUAAGUCCAUAUCGACAGUUAUUGAAAAUAGACCUGAAGAGUCUUUAACAAGGGAUCGUUAGCUUACUAAUACAUAACGUACCAAACUAAAGAGUUUAGUAAGACACCAUACGUGCCAAGUUUAAAAGGUAAACCUGUCGUCUCGAUCGGGUGUCACCAUCAUUUUUCGCCUCAUGAGAAAAAUACUGACUGGAUACGCACAAUAAGUGUAAUGCUGUCUGACAAGAUCGACAUUAAUACUUAAACCACAAAAACAGCUAGAACAGACGAAAACAGCACCUAUGACGGAGAUUUGAAGUCCACCCAACAUAACGACUACGGAAUCUUAUACAUAAAACUACACUUGAUUACAGAGAACACACAAGAGGUCACAACUAGAAAACCCUGAUUAAAAAACAUUGACAAAUAUCUCUACAAAUUAAUCAAGGUGUCUGUACGUAUGUACUAAACGCUUCUUUAAUGAAAGAGACGAAACAAGAAAUUUCUACAUAAAAGUUACCGAUAAAUUAUAUCUACGAAGUAAUCAACGUAUUCGUAUAUACUAAGAUACUCGUUUAAUAGAAGUGACUAGAUAAAACCUCUCUACAGACUAAUCGACGUGUUCGUAUGUACCAAGGCAUCCAUUAAACAAAAUGGGACUAGUAGAACGAUAGGUCAACACAACCAUACCAGACUUUGUCUAAGUGUUCAUAAAUACUACUAGCAAACGUACCACCCAGCACGAUCGUUACACGAAACGUAUAUGUGCUAAGUUUAUAAACAAUCCACAAAAUCAAAUGUGUAAAGAGGACUUUUAGACAUAUACACAUACGUCGGUAAAAACUUAACCGAUACUAAGAAAAAUCAUAAAAUCAAAUGUGUAAAGAGAACUCUUAGAAGUGUAGCUUGACAUUAUCAUACAUAUUAUAUCCAAACAUUAAAAAGGUAAUGAACCAAGAACGGGUCCAGAAGACAAAGAUAUGGUAUGACAAGAGCACAGUAAGGGCAAUCAAAAAUAUCCCGGACGUCUAGUCGAGUCAAAUAUAUAUAUACGAAAAUGAGGACUUGUGUCAAAUUACUACAAGUAAGAAAGUCAAAUGCUUUUAGAGACGGAAUAUCCCGGCCAAGUAUAACUGUACCUCCUCCGUGUCUCCAAAUAACGAAGACAAACACCCUACCGGAACUCCCCUCUGGUUUCGUUUGUAGUUGUACAAGUUCCAUGUAUGACUUCCUACAAGACUCCGAUCGUGGACCAAAUCUUCAAAACUUUAAGUGUUGUUAUGGAGUAUUAAAACUAAACUAUAGGUCUUACGAUUAACUUCUUACUCGGAUACUUGACGUAACAUAAAACAUUAUAUAGGAAUAUAUACCACGAACACCGUAAAAAGAACGUUAAUAUUCAAAUUUAAAUACCCAUAAAUAUCUCAGGGGGAAAGAAAAAGGCGUUCCCCGUCAUCGACACGGUAAGCCAAACUUCCUGUUUCUCAACUAGUGUUUCCCCAUCGUAAAUCCUAUAUAUAUGUUCUCAUAUCUUGGUUUAAUAUACUACAUUAACUGGUGAUAAAAAAUAAUUGAAGAGAAUGUGUUACAAGUGCUCAAGUACAUGUAA